AUUGAACGCUGGCGGCAUGCCUUACACAUGCAAGUCGAACGGUAACGGGCCUUCGGGUGCCGACGAGUGGCGAACGGGUGAGUAAUGUAUCGGAACGUACCUUUCAGUGGGGGAUAACGUAGCGAAAGUUACGCUAAUACCGCAUAUUCUGUGCGCAGGAAAGCAGGGGAUCGCAAGACCUUGCGCUGAUUGAGCGGCCGAUAUCAGAUUAGCUAGUUGGUGAGGUAAAGGCUCACCAAGGCGACGAUCUGUAGCGGGUCUGAGAGGAUGAUCCGCCACACUGGAACUGAGACACGGUCCAGACUCCUACGGGAGGCAGCAGUGGGGAAUUUUGGACAAUGGGGGCAACCCUGAUCCAGCCAUGCCGCGUGACUGAUGAAGUCUUUCGAGAUGUAAAGGUCUUUUGUUGGGGACGAAGGAAGUGACGGUACCCGACGAAUAAGCCCCGGCUAACUACGUG
Molecule: ribosomal RNA, 460 nt
Filed under: uncultured bacterium
Lineage: Bacteria
Description: bacterial SSU rRNA
Rfam family: Bacterial small subunit ribosomal RNA
Source: RNAcentral